CAGGGGAAUCCAGGAACACCUGAAAACUGGACUCUACCAACGGAGCAAAGGGGACAGGAGCCAGAACCAGGGAUCCAGCGAGAGUUCACACCAAACGCAGCCUGCAGGAAGAAACCAGAGGCCUUGUUCAUCUUGCAAGAUGCCUGGGCAUCUAAGACGUCAGAACAUACUUUCCAAAGACCUGACAGUGAACCCUACUCCGGAAGUGCUCUCAGCAGCCUGGACCAAAGUCACUUCCUCCAUAGUCUGCGGCCAUCUUUUCUUCAAGCUGAAGCUGGGUCAGA
This is a long non-coding RNA of Chinchilla lanigera (long-tailed chinchilla), 284 nucleotides long. RefSeq lists it as uncharacterized. The transcript is spliced from 3 exons. Lineage: Eukaryota; Metazoa; Chordata; Mammalia; Rodentia; Chinchillidae. The record is from RefSeq and is a predicted model, not a curated record.